This 326-nucleotide ribosomal RNA is filed under the name Lactiplantibacillus plantarum. RNAcentral describes it as "bacterial SSU rRNA". It matches the Rfam family "Bacterial small subunit ribosomal RNA", at positions 603 to 927 of the family's 1533-position model. The record is from RNAcentral. Lineage: Bacteria; Bacillati; Bacillota; Bacilli; Lactobacillales; Lactobacillaceae.
UUCGGCUCAACCGAAGAAGUGCAUCGGAAACUGGGAAACUUGAGUGCAGAAGAGGACAGUGGAACUCCAUGUGUAGCGGUGAAAUGCGUAGAUAUAUGGAAGAACACCAGUGGCGAAGGCGGCUGUCUGGUCUGUAACUGACGCUGAGGCUCGAAAGUAUGGGUAGCAAACAGGAUUAGAUACCCUGGUAGUCCAUACCGUAAACGAUGAAUGCUAAGUGUUGGAGGGUUUCCGCCCUUCAGUGCUGCAGCUAACGCAUUAAGCAUUCCGCCUGGGGAGUACGGCCGCAAGGCUGAAACUCAAAGGAAUUGACGGGGGCCCGCACA